CUUCUUCAACUUGAACCCCACCAUCGCCUCUUUCUCUUUCAAAGACAUUCACCAUAUCCGCUUUGACGAUCCACCUUUCCGCACUUCCCUCGAGAGCUCAGAUCUCCGAUCUAGAGCAUUUCACUUCUUCUCCGCUCAAAAUCUGGAUAUUUUCGGCGAUAGGCAAUCCGGCCAAGUUGUUCGUUCUUAGAACGAUACUCAAAAAAUGAGUAAGCAAUCGAUCCAUUUGUUGACCUAGAAAAUUUCGGAUCUAUAAGUUGAAGUCUAUUUUUCCGCCGAGCAGCUGCGCUUUCGGCUGAGAAGGUAAAAGGAGAGACGCCAUGGAAAGAAGACCUGCGAGGUGUUACCGUCAUAUCACAAGGGUAAGCAAUACCCAAAAUUCAACAUGGAUACUAGCAUAAGCCAGCUGUGGCCGUGUUAGCUUGUGUAGGAGACCAUCUCAUUGGAGCCUAAAUAUGACAAACGCCGUCUAUUGAGUGAUCUCCAGGAGCAAAGUAUAGAAACUAACAAAGUUCAAGAUUUACAUCUUACAUAUUCAUUGAUUAUUCUAAAGGAGGUUUAUGCCAACACAUAAAGAAUGAACCGACAUUUCGGAGUAACCUAAACACUUGUACACAAGAUAUAAAGUAGAGUCCAAAUGAAUAUUAUUUGAAGAAUAAAUAAAGUUUGUGUAAUGAACA
Molecule: long non-coding RNA, 680 nt
Organism: Arabidopsis lyrata subsp. lyrata
Lineage: Eukaryota; Viridiplantae; Streptophyta; Magnoliopsida; Brassicales; Brassicaceae
Exons: 3
Source: RefSeq, a predicted model, not a curated record